GAGUUUGAUCCUGGCUCAGAACGAACGCUGGCGGCAGGCCUAACACAUGCAAGUCGAGCGGCACCUUCGGGUGUAGCGGCGGACGGGUUAGUAACGCGUGGGAACGUGCCCUUCUCUACGGAAUAGCCUCGGGAAACUGAGAGUAAUACCGUAUACGCCCUUCGGGGGAAAGAUUUAUCGGAGAAGGAUCGGCCCGCGUCUGAUUAGAUAGUUGGUGGGGUAAUGGCCUACCAAGUCUACGACCAGUAGCUGGUUUUAGAGGAUGAUCAGCAACACUGGGACUGAGACACGGCCCAGACUCCUACGGGAGGCAGCAGUGGGGAAUCUUAGACAAUGGGCGCAAGCCUGAUCUAGCCAUGCCGCGUGAGUGAUGAAGGCCUUAGGGUCGUAAAGCUCUUUCGCCAGAGAUGAUAAUGACAGUAUCUGGUAAAGAAACCCCGGCUAACUCCGUGCCAGCAGCCGCGGUAAUACGGAGGGGGUUAGCGUUGUUCGGAAUUACUGGGCGUAAAGCGCACGUAGGCGGAUCAGAAAGUUGGGGGUGAAAUCCCAGGGCUCAACCCUGGAACGGCCCCCAAAACUCCUGGUCUUGAGUUCGAGAGAGGUGAGUGGAAUUCCGAGUGUAGAGGUGAAAUUCGUAGAUAUUCGGAGGAACACCAGUGGCGAAGGCGGCUCACUGGCUCGAUACUGACGCUGAGGUGCGAAAGUGUGGGGAGCAAACAGGAUUAGAUACCCUGGUAGUCCACACCGUAAACGAUGAAUGCCAGUCGUCGGGUAGUAUACUGCUCGGUGACACACCUAACGGAUUAAGCAUUCCGCCUGGGGAGUACGGUCGCAAGAUUAAAACUCAAAGGAAU
RNAcentral lists this ribosomal RNA (854 nucleotides) under uncultured bacterium. Its description in RNAcentral is "bacterial SSU rRNA". It matches the Rfam family "Bacterial small subunit ribosomal RNA", at positions 9 to 910 of the family's 1533-position model. The record is from RNAcentral.